GCCGACGACCAAAUCACCCAGAAUAUGCCCAAUAUGAUCAGAUCUCAGAAGCUUAGCAGGUUACAGCCUGGCUAGUGCCUGGAUGGGCAACCACCAUGCAGGGAAUCAGUGGUGGUAGGCU
This 121-nucleotide ribosomal RNA is filed under the name Petromyzon marinus (sea lamprey). Lineage: Eukaryota; Metazoa; Chordata; Hyperoartia; Petromyzontiformes; Petromyzontidae. The record is from RNAcentral.